RNAcentral lists this long non-coding RNA (1386 nucleotides) under Phoenix dactylifera (date palm). RNAcentral's name for it is "long non-coding RNA (PDAC_LNC014696)". The record is from RNAcentral. Lineage: Eukaryota; Viridiplantae; Streptophyta; Magnoliopsida; Arecales; Arecaceae.
CUAUGUGACGUUUACUUAGGAAUUUACAAACAUGAUUGGUUUGCUCCAACAAGUUAAGGAGAUUUUCACCCAGAAAAAUCUCCUUCGUCACAAUUGACACUAGCCAUUCCUUGUGGCAAGAAGCAGUUCGGUUAAAAAUGAAACAACAUGUCUACACUAUUCUUAGUUUAAAUUUAAAAAACAAAACCAAAAGAAUAGAGGUGUAUGUAUGUCUCAUGGCCAGUCCUGAAAGGUAAUGGCACCAAUGCUGCAGCUCCAGGCCAUAGAAUAUGGGACUGCCAUCAGGUGAAGGAACUUCCUAGAAGGAUUGCACUUUCAAGAAGAACCAUCAACACCCAAGAACUUUCUAUAUGACGUUUACUUAGGAAUUUACAAAAACAUGAUUGGUUUGCUCCAACAAGUUAAGAAGAUUUUCACCCAGAAAUACUUCCUUCGUCACACUUAACACUAGCCACCCACUCCUUGUAGCAAGAAGCAGCUGGGUAAAAAAUGAAACACAUCUACUCUAUGCUUAGUUUAAAUAAAAAAUAAAAGAAAAGAGGUAUAUGUAUGUCUCAUGGCCAGUCCCGAAAGGUAAUGGCAGUGAUGCAGCUUCUCCAGGCGAUGGAAUAUGAGACCAUCAUCAGGUGGAGGAACUUCAAUGGGUCGAUUUUUCUUUUGAAAUAUGAUUAUCGUAAAAUGAUCCUAAAUAGGUAUUAUAAAUGAAUGUCAGACUUAGAUAUUAUCAUAAAUGACUUUGAGAUAUAAUUUAUAAUGACCUGUUAGCUGUUACACUUGGUAGACCCAACUUUAUUUAGUUUCUAAGCAGAAACAUGUGAAAGGCGUCCUUAGAAUACAAGCUUGAUGCUGAAUAAUAAUUGCAACGAAUCAAAUUUUUUCAGGGUUGCUGAUUUUUUGCAUGCUGAUUUUUUAUGUGAUAAAUUGAUGAUUCUAAUUGCAUUGUUAAUGGGAUUACAAAGUUUAGAAUCAUGUUUAGCAUGAUCAGCAACCCAUGUCAUAAGAUAAUCAAUUAGAUUUCAGAUCUGAAAAUUAUAAUUGCUACAUGCGGUGAAAUAAUGCAAUCUAAUUACUUGAUCAAUUAGAUUGAUAAAUGGUUAAUCCCUUCAAUUCUCCAUUAACUACUUAAUCGACACCUAAAUCAAUAGACACAAGAGGAUUAUAGUUUUUUAGGCUCUGUAAAAUCAUCUAAAUUUGGAAUAUGAUUUUGACCUUCUAUAGUUAAUUUUUUCUAUUACCUGGCGUCGAUUUUCAAAUAGACUCUUUUGGUUUUUUAUUUAAACUAAGAAUCAGAGAAGACAUGUUGUUUUCUACCCAACUGCCUGUUGCUAUAAGGAGUGGCUAGUGUUAGGUGUGACGAAGGAGAUUUUUCUGGGUGAUAAUCUCCUU